GGUGUUAUGGCUCAAUGGUAGAGUGCUUGCCUUGCAUGUGUGAGGCACUAGGUUCAAUCCUUAGCACCA
Molecule: transfer RNA, 69 nt
Filed under: Ictidomys tridecemlineatus (thirteen-lined ground squirrel)
Lineage: Eukaryota; Metazoa; Chordata; Mammalia; Rodentia; Sciuridae
Description: Spermophilus tridecemlineatus (thirteen-lined ground squirrel) tRNA
Rfam family: tRNA
About the family: Transfer RNA (tRNA) molecules are approximately 80 nucleotides in length. Their secondary structure includes four short double-helical elements and three loops (D, anti-codon, and T loops).
Source: Rfam by way of RNAcentral